Molecule: ribosomal RNA, 393 nt
Filed under: uncultured bacterium
Lineage: Bacteria
Description: partial 16S ribosomal RNA
Rfam family: Bacterial small subunit ribosomal RNA
Source: RNAcentral
AUACGGAGGAUGCAAGCGUUAUCCGGAUUUAUUGGGUUUAAAGGGUGCGUAGGCGGGACUGUAAGUCAGGGGUGAAAUACUGCAGCUUAACUGUAGCAUUGCCUUUGAAACUGCCGUUCUUGAGUACAGUUGGGGUAGGCGGAAUGUGGUGUGUAGCGGUGAAAUGUAUAGAUAUACCACAGAACGCCGAUUGCGAAGGCAGCUUACUAAGCUGUUACUGACGCUGAGGCACGAAAGCGUGGGGAUCAAACAGGAUUAGAUACCCUGGUAGUCCACGCAGUAAACGAUGAUGGCUAACCGCUGGGCUUAUCAGUUCAGUGGCCAAGCGAAAGCGAUAAGCCAUCCACCUGGGGAGUACGACCGCAAGGUUGAAACUCAAAGGAAUUGACGGGG